Molecule: non-coding RNA, 27 nt
Filed under: Mus musculus (house mouse)
Lineage: Eukaryota; Metazoa; Chordata; Mammalia; Rodentia; Muridae
Source: RNAcentral
UCAAAGUAUACUGCUCCAGAAAUGAAA